GCGGUAACGAGGCGUCCAGGAAACUCCUCCUUCUCCUUGCGGUCCCCCGGAAUUGGGCCAAUAUGGAGAGGAGGUGCUAGGGGCAGGCGCCCUUGGUUGCUAGGUUGCGUGAAAAAUAUCCUGAGAAGGGAGAAGGCAAGACUCACAGAGGUCCAGUGCUUACUCAACUAAUGAGGCAGAACCUGCUGCAGAGCUGUCAUGCUGUUGCCUGGUGGAUCUGUCUGAAAGACAUGGACCAUGAGUACAUAUCCACGUGGGCUUCAGUCCCUCGCUACAGGGGAUUACUGAUACCGUCUUGGAUGGCUCAGCGGAGUGCUGUCUCACAUUGCUUCACUCUUCUGCUCUCUCCCACGUGGU
RNAcentral lists this long non-coding RNA (357 nucleotides) under Mus spicilegus (steppe mouse). RNAcentral's name for it is "lncRNA (ENSMSIG00000027652.1)". Lineage: Eukaryota; Metazoa; Chordata; Mammalia; Rodentia; Muridae. The record is from RNAcentral.